Molecule: non-coding RNA, 181 nt
Organism: Oryza glumipatula
Lineage: Eukaryota; Viridiplantae; Streptophyta; Magnoliopsida; Poales; Poaceae
Source: Rfam
AAAAAGGCAAACCGCGGGUUUCCGUGCCAACGUUUGACUGUCCGUCUUAUAUGAAAAUUUUUUAUAAUUAGUAUUUUCAUUUUAAUACUUUAUGCGUAACUUAUCUUUUUAAUUUUUUUGUAAUUUUUUCAAAUAAGACGGAUGGUUAAACGUUGAACACAGAAACAGGGUUUGUCUUUUU